GACGAACGCUGGCGGCGUGCCUAAUACAUGCAACUCGAACGCACUCUCGUUUAGAUUGAAGGAGUUUGCUCCUGAUUGAUAAACAUUUGAGUGAGUGGCGGACGGGUGAGUAACACGUGGGUAACCUGCCCUAAAGUGGGGGAUAACAUUUGGAAACAGAUGCUAAUACCGCAUAAAACCUAACACCGCAUGGUGUAGGGUUGAAAGAUGGUUUCGGCUAUCACUUUAGGAUGGACCCGCGGUGCAUUAGUUAGUUGGUGAGGUAAAGGCUCACCAAGACCGUGAUGCAUAGCCGACCUGAGAGGGUAAUCGGCCACACUGGGACUGAGACACGGCCCAGACUCCUACGGGAGGCAGCAGUAGGGAAUCUGCCACAAUGGACGAAAGUCUGAUGGAGCAACGCCGCGUGAGUGAAGAAGGUUUUCGGAUCGUAAAACUCUGUUGUUGGAGAAGAAUGUAUCUGAUAGUAACUGAUCAGGUAGUGACGGUAUCCAACCAGAAAGCCACGGCUAACUACGUG
RNAcentral lists this ribosomal RNA (520 nucleotides) under uncultured bacterium. Its description in RNAcentral is "partial 16S ribosomal RNA". It matches the Rfam family "Bacterial small subunit ribosomal RNA", at positions 28 to 507 of the family's 1533-position model. The record is from RNAcentral.